GUGGGGAAUAUUGGACAAUGGGCGAAAGCCUGAUCCAGCCAUGCCGCGUGUGUGAAGAAGGUCUUCGGAUUGUAAAGCACUUUAAGUUGGGAGGAAGGGCAGUAAGUUAAUACCUUGCUGUUUUGACGUUACCGACAGAAUAAGCACCGGCUAACUUCGUGCCAGCAGCCGCGGUAAUACGAAGGGUGCAAGCGUUAAUCGGAAUUACUGGGCGUAAAGCGCGCGUAGGUGGUUUUGUAAGUUGGAGGUGAAAUCCCCGGGCUCAACCUGGGAACUGCCUCAAAAACUGCAUGACUAGAGUACGGUAGAGGGUAGUGGAAUUUCCUGUGUAGCGGUGAAAUGCGUAGAUAUAGGAAGGAACACCAGUGGCGAAGGCGACUACCUGGACUGAUACUGACACUGAGGUACGAAAGCAUGGGGAGCAAACAGGAUUAGAAACCCGUGUAGUCC
RNAcentral lists this ribosomal RNA (450 nucleotides) under uncultured bacterium. Its description in RNAcentral is "partial 16S ribosomal RNA". It matches the Rfam family "Bacterial small subunit ribosomal RNA", at positions 354 to 796 of the family's 1533-position model. The record is from RNAcentral.